UACGGAGGGUGCAAACGUUGCUCGGAAUCAUUGGGCGUAAAGCGAACGUAGGCGGCUAUGUAAGUCGGGUGUGAAAGCCCUCGGCUCAACCGAGGAAGUGCAUUCGAAACUGCAUGGCUUGAGUGUCGGAGAGGAUAGCGGAAUUCCCGGUGUAGAGGUGAAAUUCGUAGAUAUCGGGAGGAACACCAGUGGCGAAGGCGGCUAUCUGGACGAACACUGACGCUGAAGUUCGAAAGCGUGGGGAGCAAACAGG
Molecule: ribosomal RNA, 253 nt
Filed under: uncultured bacterium
Lineage: Bacteria
Description: partial 16S ribosomal RNA
Rfam family: Bacterial small subunit ribosomal RNA
Source: RNAcentral